This 261-nucleotide ribosomal RNA is filed under the name uncultured prokaryote. Its description in RNAcentral is "partial 16S ribosomal RNA". It matches the Rfam family "Bacterial small subunit ribosomal RNA", at positions 524 to 784 of the family's 1533-position model. The record is from RNAcentral.
UACGGAGGAUCCGAGCGUUAUCCGGAUUUAUUGGGUUUAAAGGGUGCGCAGGCGGGAGAUUAAGUCGGCGGUGAAAUUUUGCAGCUCAACUGUAAAAGUGCCAUUGAUACUGGUUUCCUUGAGUGUGGAUGAAGUAGGCGGAAUUUGUGGUGUAGCGGUGAAAUGCAUAGAUAUCACGAGGAACUCCGAUUGCGAAGGCAGCUUACUAAGCUACUACUGACGCUCAUGCACGAAGGCGUGGGGAUCAAACAGGAUUAGAUA